This 1437-nucleotide ribosomal RNA is filed under the name uncultured Acidobacteriota bacterium. Its description in RNAcentral is "bacterial SSU rRNA". It matches the Rfam family "Bacterial small subunit ribosomal RNA". Lineage: Bacteria; Pseudomonadati; Acidobacteriota. The record is from RNAcentral.
AACGCUGGCGGCGUGCCUCAGACAUGCAAGUCGAACGAUUAAAGCUCUCUUCGGAGAGUGCAUAGAGUGGCGCACGGGUGAGUAACACGUAAGUAAUCUACCUUCGAGUGGGGAAUAACGUCCGGAAACGGACGCUAAUACCGCAUAAUGCAGCGGCAUCGCAAGAUGACAGUUGUUAAAGAUUUAUCGCUUGAAGAGGAGCUUGCGGCAGAUUAGCUAGUUGGUAAGGUAAUGGCUUACCAAGGCUACGAUCUGUAACCGGUCUAAGAGGACGGUCGGUCACACUGACACUGAACAACGGGUCAGACUCCUACGGGAGGCAGCAGUCGGGAAUUUUGGGCAAUGGGCGAAAGCCUGACCCAGCAACGCCGCGUGAAGGAUGAAGUAUUUCGGUAUGUAAACUUCGAAAGAAUGGGAAGAAUAAAUGACGGUACCAUUUAUAAGGUCCGGCUAACUACGUGCCAGCAGCCGCGGUAAUACGUAGGGACCAAGCGUUGUUCGGAUUUACUGGGCGUAAAGGGCGCGUAGGCGGCUUGACAAGUCACUUGUGAAAUCUCCGGGCUUAACUCGGAACGGCCAAGUGAAACUGUCAUGCUAGAGUGCAGAAGGGGCAAUCGGAAUUCUUGGUGUAGCGGUGAAAUGCGUAGAUAUCAAGAGGAACACCUGAGGUGAAGACGGGUUGCUGGGCUGACACUGACGCUGAGGCGCGAAAGCCAGGGGAGCAAACGGGAUUAGAUACCCCGGUAGUCCUGGCCCUAAACGAUGAAUACUUGGUGUCUGGAGUUAUUAGUGCUCCGGGUGCCGUCGCUAACGUUUUUAGUAUUCCGCCUGGGGAGUACGCUCGCAAGAGUGAAACUCAAAGGAAUUGACGGGGGCCCGCACAAGCGGUGGAGCAUGUGGUUCAAUUCGACGCAACGCGAAGAACCUUACCUGGGCUCGAAGCACAGUGGACCGGGGUGGAAACAUCCCUUUUCGCAAGAACUGCUGUGGAGGUGCUGCAUGGCUGUCGUCAGCUCGUGUCGUGAGAUGUUGGGUUAAGUCCCGCAACGAGCGCAACCCUUAUCGUUAGUUGCCAGCGGGUCAAGCCGGGCACUCUAGCGAAACCGCCCCGGAUAACGGGGAGGAAGGUGGGGAUGACGUCAAGUCCUCAUGGCCUUUAUGUCCAGGGCUACACACGUGCUACAAUGGUCGGUACAAACCGUCGCAAACCUGCGAAGGGGAGCUAAUCGGAAAAAGCCGGCCUCAGUUCGGAUUGGAGUCUGCAACUCGACUCCAUGAAGCUGGAAUCGCUAGUAAUCGCGGAUCAGCACGCCGCGGUGAAUACGUUCCCGGGCCUUGUACACACCGCCCGUCACAUCACGAAAGUGGACUGCACUAGAAGCCGGUGAGCCAACCGCAAGGGGGCAGCCGUCCAAGGUAUGGUUCAUGAUUGGGGUG